GGCGAGUAGAGCGGCGAAAGGACUAGUAAUGCGUUUCUAUGUACCCCAUGGUCGGGGAUAGCCCGGGGAAACCCGGAUUAAUACCCGACGCCCUCUUCGGAGGAAAGAUUUAUCGCCAUGGGAGCAGGGAACGUCCUAUCAGGUAGUUGGUGAGGUAAUAGCUCACCAAGCCUUAGACGGGUAGCGGGUGUGAGAGCAUGACCCGCAGUAUCGGGACUGAGACACUGCCCGGACUCCUACGGGAGGCUGCAGUAACGAAUAUUCCGCAAUGCACGAAAGUGUGACGGAGCAAUGCCGCGUGCAGGAUGAAUCCCCUCGGGGUGUAAACUGCUGUCAGUGACUAGAAAAAAAAUGAUCAGUCGCAAAGGAAGGACCGGCUAAUCUCGUGCCAGCAGCCGCGGUAAUACGAGAGGUCCGAGCGUUACGCGGAAUUACUGGGCUUAAAGCGUACGUAGGCGGAUCUACAGGUAUCCUGUGAAAGCCCACGGCUCAACCGUGGAAUUGCAGGGUAAACCGUAGAUCUUGAGGUGGCUAGGGGCUCUCGGAACGGUAGGUGGAGUGGUGAAAUGCGUUGAUAUCUACCGGAACGCCAAAGGGGAAGCCAGGGAGCUGGGGCCAUUCUGACGCUGAGGUACGAAAGCGUGGGUAGC
RNAcentral lists this ribosomal RNA (650 nucleotides) under uncultured marine bacterium. Its description in RNAcentral is "bacterial SSU rRNA". It matches the Rfam family "Bacterial small subunit ribosomal RNA", at positions 85 to 769 of the family's 1533-position model. The record is from RNAcentral.